AGGGUUUGAUUAUGGCUCAGGAUGAACGCUGGCGGCGUGCCUAACACAUGCAAGUCGAGCGAGAAGUCAUGGAUGGAAUCUUCGGAGGAAAGAAAUGAUGGAAAGCGGCGGACGGGUGAGUAACGCGUAGGUAACCUGCCCCAUACAGAGGGAUAGCCACUGGAAACGGUGAUUAAUACCUCAUGACACUUUCUCUUCGCAUGGAGGGAAGGUCAAAGAUUUAUCGGUAUGGGAUGGACCUGCGUCUGAUUAGCUUGUUGGUGGGGUAACGGCCUACCAAGGCGACGAUCAGUAGCCGACCUGAGAGGGUGAUCGGCCACAUUGGAACUGAGACACGGUCCAA
RNAcentral lists this ribosomal RNA (343 nucleotides) under uncultured bacterium. RNAcentral's name for it is "bacterial SSU rRNA". It matches the Rfam family "Bacterial small subunit ribosomal RNA", at positions 8 to 334 of the family's 1533-position model. The record is from RNAcentral.